Molecule: long non-coding RNA, 6776 nt
Filed under: Strigops habroptila (Kakapo)
Lineage: Eukaryota; Metazoa; Chordata; Aves; Psittaciformes; Psittacidae
Description: lncRNA (ENSSHBG00005012259.1)
Source: RNAcentral
UGAAUAUUACUUGGGGCAGAAGAAAUCUUAAAGAGCAAAUAUCUGCAUGAGAUGCCCCUGCUGUGGAUGGAGGAGAGUCCAGUGAGUCUGAUUUCUCACUGACCCUUGUGCAAAUCGCUGGUGCCUUCACACAGGCGUGUUUUGCCAUGCCUACACCUAUUUGCCAUAGGAGUGUGCGAUGGCAUAAGUGUGAGACAGCGAGAAGUCAGAUCCAGACUCUGAACUGGUGGAGUGGUUCAUGAAGCAUGGUGGGAGCUUGCAAGGCAAGGUGAUGCUUUAGCUCUCUGAUGUGAGAUGGCCACAUGAGCUUUACCCAUCUUCCUGCCUAUCCCCUAGGAUCCCUUCAGUGCCAGGGAUUGCUGCUGUCCCAUGGGAGGCUGUGUGUCUGCUCCCUGCUGCAGGGUCACAGGAGUAGUUAUGGCUUUCAUUAGGAGGUGAGACUUUUUUUUGUUUUUUAAGAGAAAGUGGAAAAUUAUCCAAGAAGAUAACCCAAGAGCAGCACGGGGAUGAGAGGCCAGGCAGGCCCCUCUUGGCAAGCUACACCCUUGGCAAAGUCAGUCCAGCAGGGAGGAGAUUGUAGGCUAGACACACAGGGCUGUUGUAAAGAACGGUAAAGAAAGGUAAACUGGGACAGAGCCACCCUUUAGAGCCUCCUCCCAUGUGAUGUUCAACAUUGUCAUGUUUUAAAAAGAGGUUUUCUUUGACAGUAAAACUCUUAAAAGUCUGCAAAACCCUCAUGGGACACAGUGAGUUGACAGCUAAAAGAGCAACCUUUGAGAGUCCCACAUCCCAGGAGCCUCUCCACCCCUCUCACAGAGAGGGAGGGGCAGGAGGGCAGUGAUGAGAAUUUAGGAACUUUCUGACAAGUCUUGCGGAAAAUGGAGCUGCAUCCUCAAAUUUGAGUUAUCCUCAAGCUACUCCUCAUUUCCAGAGUUCACUCUUAAAGCCUUUAUUUCUUUUUCACAGACAUCUCAAAUAACAAAACAGUCACAUAUGCAAGAGUUGGCAUGGAAUGGGAUUUAGAGAAAUGUGUCUUUACAGGAAGCAUCUCUAUAUUCUCACACAGAAGGAGGAAAAGGAAGAGAGGGAGAAAUAUCUGACUCCUCAAAAAAGAGAAAGGGAGAACAGGAGAAAAACAUCAGGAUGAAACAGCACAGUUUGGUCAAGGUGGUACCAUGCUGAAAAAUAACUCGAUCCCUGGAACUCAACUUUAUCUUCUACUUUCUAGCUAAAGUCUUUCCCUAAGUACUGAUACACAGUGUUGAAUCCUUUCUUUACAGGUCCCUGCAGGCCAGCUGAAGUCCCUCUUGUCAUAACCUUAACAAUAUUUUUAAAAUCAAGUUGUUCUGAGAGAUGGGUGAAGAUUGUCAACUCACUGACUUAAAUUUAGCUGUAGAAAUGAGUAUUAGUGACCAUAUGUUGCCACAACAGCCAAAGUUCACUUAGCCCUCGAGUUUUUAGAAAUCAGUUUAAUUCUCCCACUCCUCUGGCUGUGUUUCUUUUAUUCAGGUGCAAUAUGGGAAUACACAAGAUCUCCAAAGUUCUUAUACCGGGUUAAAUUGCUGGUCCCUCCAGACAGACUCAAUAUACAGUUUCAAAUUUUGGCUCUGAGAGACUCUCACCAUAAGAUGGAGAUGUAUGUUCAGCCUUGUCAGAGCAGCUUUCUGAAUAUAGUUACAGUUCAUUUGCUUGUUGAGUCCUCAGUUUAGUGUUUCUGAGGAAAACUAUAAUCCCAACAAUAAAGGAUGAAAUUGCAAUCACUUUCAUCUCCAUGCAAGCUGCUUGUAAAGCAGUUAUCACCAUUGGAAAAAAAUAUGAAACUACCCAAACUGUACCUUGGAGGAGGAUUUUUUUAUUAUCAUUACCUGUGAGAUCAUUUUUUACAGGCAAGUUUGGGGAUGGAGCAAGAAAGUAACCUUUGAACAGCUCAGCCGUUCAAACGUUUAGGAUUUAAAUUCGCUCUUUGAACUGCUUCAGUAGUGCCCAGGACUGGCAGAGAAAGCUGAAGAGGUCAGACCGAAGAUUUCUGACCUCCAGCACUGGGACCACAAGGAACUCACCUCAAAUGCAAUUUCCAGGGGUUGGGGCAAGCCCUGUCCUUUCUAGUCAUUUUGCAAUUUGGGAGGGGAAGGCUGCUGUGAACAUCUCCUUUUGUUCCAACAGUUUUCCACAAUGAACACCUGUGUUUUGCAUGGUGAGCCAGGCCAUGCACCUGAAGCAUAUGUCCAUGGCUGAUCUCCAUAUGGAUACUCUUCUGCACUAGGUCCCUAAUUCAUCUCACUAGGAUUUAAGAUCUUUUAAGAUCUUGGCACCACCCAAGAUAGGUGAGUGGUCACUCUAUGUAGUGAGAGAGAGCUCCUAAAGCUGACUUAGAUGUCAGUUUUACUGGUUUACCAUCUAGAAGCAAUUGUCUUUCUUCAUUAACUAUACAAGAAAUGAAAGGAGAUGAGCUCGUUAACAUAAAGAGCUCAGUUAUGUGCUUAAGGUUAAUGGGGAUGAAAAUCCAGGCCUUUGUGUAGCUUGACUUCGUCCACAAAGGUGCUCCUCACAAAUAUACACCUGGUGCAGAAGAACAGCAUCCAUACAAAGGGCCUCUUCGUAAAGGGUAAGUGAGUCUAUUGAGAGAGCUAAUGUGGAACAGAAAUUCUGCUGUGGCUUUUUCAGUCCAUUUCUUUUCCUUAAGAAAGCCCUUGAGAUCAAGUCCUAUGACUGGAUAUACGUGUGUGGAUACGCAUGCCGCUGACUUCAGUGGGACACAACGGCAGAAUGAGGAUUUUCCCGGGAAAUAGAACUUUUUCAUUUGUUUUGAUUUAAAUCUGAGAUACAUGAGGAUUGUGAAAAAGAAACAGUCCUUUGCCUGAAAUUCUGUACAUCAACCUCACCUUAUUUCAGGCAAUCAUGAAGCUAUGGACAUUUUUCAUAAAUUUACAAAUAUAUAUACAUAUAUACACAUAUAUACAUGUAUAUGUGUGUCAGCCUAGGGGCUAGAUUUACCACUGCGUUAUUCCAGCCACACACAAGUAUAAUGGUUGGUUUUUACAAAAACAGAUUGGUAUAAAGUUGGAGUGACUGAGCAGUGACUGUUCCUGUGUCUAUGCAAAAGAUCCUUGAAUGGGCUAACAUAUAAGUACAGCCCCCUUCCCUAAGUCCCCUCAUCACAUAUACUCAGAAAUAGGAUCCAGUCUUACAGUUGUUAAUGAAGCAAAUUUCCCAUUGAUUCCAAUGAUCUGUAAUCAAAGGGAAUUUUACUUGAGAACUGAAAGUUCAAGCCCCGUUUAGGUACAGUUUACAGCUUUGAAAGUUGUAAUGUCUGUCCUACUAGGCCUCAAGAUGCAUUAAAAAAAUUCAAGCUAGUGCAGAAAAAUAUCUUCAAAAGUCCCCAAAUACGCUUUUCUGUGUUAAGUAGGGGAAAUUUUGUCCUGCAAAAGAUCAAACAACAAAUACAUAAAUGUACACACUCUAAGUGAUGGAAAUGGCCAAAUAAAAAUUGCAACAGUUUAAGUUAGAGGUCUGUGAUUGUUGUUAGUGCCCAGGAGUUAUAAAUAAUUCAGUACACUCUAACUGAAUAGUCUAAGGCUGCACUUUUAUUGUUCUGAUUACUUGAACCUUUUCCUUACGAUCUAUAUUGUUAAUGAAUAGCAUUUCUUAAAAAAAUACAGCCUUAUUCUCAACAGUCAGAUGAAAACUAUUCUUGAGAUAAAAUGUCACAAGAGCUUAAGCAAAUUAGGAGCAUUUAUAUUUAGGUUUUUCUAAACAUGUAGGCACCAAAGGCAUAUAGCAUUUUACUCCAAUUCACUGUCUGAGGAAGAAUUGGAUGCUGAGGCUCUUUCGUGGAGCUGGCCCCAGGAGAUUGAGCCAUAUUUGAUUCAUGCUCCUUGGUGUCUAACAUCACUUUGAAACUGGGGCAAAACCCACGAGUCACACAGCUUUUUGAAGACUCGACUCUUUAUCUCAUCUACUGCAGAAUCACUGUUACUGUUUGUGUAUUUCUGACCAGCUGGCAAAAUAACAAGGCCACUUGAAGGAAUUGCCUUUACAGAGAUAUUUCUGUGCUAUGCUGCCACAGGUAGGGCUCAAAGCCACGGGAUGUGGAGCUACCAGCUGUGCCGAGGAACAUUAGCCGCAGUCUUCUGCAUGUCAGUGCUGCUGACAGCCCACACCAGCCCUCUGCAUAGGACACAGGCAGCGUCCUGCCAUGGUGCUGCCUCUCGCACGAUGGGAUUUUUACACCAGGGGAUCAUAAACAUUUCUGAUUUGGAAGCGAUAUGGUGUGAUUUGUUCUCCUGUGACUGAGGCCAUCCAUGUUACAGAAGCACCUUGCAACAGCAGGUUGCAAGAAUCAAUUUUGUGAAUACCAAGGCUGUCCUAAUGGGACUUCAUUUUCCCUCAGCCUUACUCACUCAGAAAGUGACACCUGUACAUAUUGCACACAUGUACCAGGGUCUGUGGCACUAGAAGGUAGGAAGGACUUGUGGACACAACUGAAGGUAGGCAGGACUUAUGGACACAACUGCAUUUUUGGAGGUAGGUUGGCUAGCGCAGGACUGACUGGAUCAGAAGUAGCUCUGUAGAAAUCCUACAUUGAAGAGCACUGAUGGUCAGCUCUGGAGCCUUAAUGCAGUGUUUCAGGAUGUUCCUGCUCUGAGCUGUUCACUGCCUCCCUUUUGCUGGAUGUAUCUGCCCAAAGGCAAAAUGGGCAGAAAGAAACGUGUAUUUGUGUCAUCUCAACUGCUUCCUUUCCCUGCAUCUCUGGGAUCAGAACAAUACCGGCAACUCUUUCUGAAAUAUCCAAAUACAUUUUGAUGGUGCAUACCCAACUGGUCCCAGUUGUAUUGUGCUUCCCCACGUCUCUUCAGGAGAUAGUUUCCAUGUGUUCUGCACGCACAGCCUAGCACGCACACAGAUGGCAUCUGAAUUGCACUGCAACUCCUGAGUUAAUUAUAAAAGAAUAGAAAACAAACUAUUAUGCUGCAUUUUGCCGUGUGUUUCCUCUCUGUAUAGUACACAUAUUUACAGGUUACUAGCACCCACAUCAUGUGGGAUGUGCAUGUGUGUGUGUCUAAGGAAGAAGGGGAGCAAGGGUGUCCAUGUAUAUACACCCUAUGCAAGAAAACUUUUGAAGUCACUUUCUGCCACUCUGCAGGAGUGUUAAUCAGUGAAGGAAAAAUAUAAAAGUGCAGUCCUAGGAGGGUCUGGCAAUUCCUGCUGCUGAUGCUGCAGGCGACAUUGGAUUGUCCUCACGUAAUUCUACCAAUGCUCGUCAAUUCUGACCUAUAGCAACUGCUGUUAGGCUUCUUUUUUUCCCUUCCCCACCUUCCCUGGAGAUAAGCUAUCUAAGCCUCUGUUAUUUUCAUUGCAAAUCUUCCCUGAGCAAGGAAGGACAACUGAUCUGUGAUUCUGGAGUGCUUUACUAGAGGUGACCAGCAUUUCAUUUCCCUCUUGUGGCCUAUAUUGAGGCAAUUGUCUAGGCUUUCUCCAAGUUAAAUCCUAAACACGUGCAAGGCAUACUGCAAUUAAAUUGGCAGCAUUGUACCAGGCUCUAGAAGGAAAGGUAGCAUCUGAUGACUGUUUAAAGCCAAAGAUUAGAUAUUGUAUGUAAGCACACAGUUAAUUUUCAGUGUUAACCAAGACAGCACUAAAACAUUUUCUAAGGCACCUGAUCCAAACCUCACUGGAGCGAAGGGGAAGCUUUUUAACGGAUUUCAACAGACUAUGGAACAGAUGCAUUAUAUUCCUGGCUAUAACUCGAAACAUUAGGACUAUGAGUUUUGAGCUAAGCCCUGUCUUUGUGAGUUUUCGGCUUAGACUGUCAGAAUCAAGAUUUUAUAGAUCUGGCCUGGAGUUUGUGAUCAAACUUCAGGCUUUUUUGAAACUCGGUUCCCGACCUUGGAAAUUCAUCCACCAGUAAUCUUUACAUGCUGCUUGUGCUUCACGCACACUCUUUGUCUCUCAGUGGCGCCUUACAAUCAUUCAGAGCUGUCUCAGUUUUUCACCUUGAGUCUUCCCUUGCUGGCUGGAUGAGCACAGCAGUAUGGGCCAUGAAGGAACGCAAAACCUGGGGGUAAGGAAAUGCAGUGUUGGUUUGUGUGAAUGUGCCUGAUCACUCCUACUGCCCUUCUAGGCCUAUGUAGAGACACACAGAAGAAAAAGCCCAAAUAAUGUAUGUCUUUAUUUAAGCUAUACUUGGUAACAUAUUAUUUCCUCUCCAUUUCACUGCUGGCAGUUAGCUUGGCACUCAAGAAUUAAGGACAGAUUACAGUGAUUUUCUUCUGAGCUCUGCUUAUCAGUGGGCUCCAGGGAUGAGCCUGAUUUGGUGGUGCUGCAUAGUGGGUAAAUGGACAGCCAUGGAGACACAGUCUUCCAGGAACCCUUGGGAAUCUGAGAUACCCCCUGCACAUCAAUCCUCUCCCUCACCAACACUGUUUUUUUCACCAUCCAACGAACUGCACAGCUAACAUGCCAUAGUUAAAAGUGGUCCCAAAUGACUCGCAUCUACGGGAAAGCAGAAUACCUGAACUCUCACGAUUCUCUCCUUGGAGGAUGAGGAUCCUCUGUUUAGAGGACUCCAAGACUUUUUUUGUGUUUAGUUUGUGUGGGGGUUUUUUUGUUUGGUUGGCUGGGUUUUUUUUUCUUUCAUGUUACUGCAGCUGAAAUAACAUUUAAAAGAGUAAUUGCAAUUUUUCAGAAGCAAUACUUCAGAGAAAUUACUCUGGUCACUGGUGGUUUGUGAUCCACUUGUGACUGUCCCUGGGGUAGAAUGAAAGAAGAAAAAAGCC